Molecule: ribosomal RNA, 713 nt
Filed under: uncultured Tulasnella mycobiont of Aneura pinguis
Lineage: Eukaryota; Fungi; Basidiomycota; Agaricomycetes; Cantharellales; Tulasnellaceae
Description: eukaryotic LSU rRNA
Rfam family: Eukaryotic large subunit ribosomal RNA (bases 587-713)
Source: RNAcentral
UCCGUAGGUGAACCUGCGGAAGGAUCAUAGUAAUCGUCUUUGACGUUCGCUUUUCCCUCGUCCUCGGGACAUUAAGGUGCUCUGGUCGAGGAUAAACGACCCCUCUGACCGAGGUCAAACCCGUCGCUCUGUGUUACCUCUAAAAAUUUUUUUUCCGAGGCACACCUUAAAGAUCGUUCCGCAUUGCGAGUCUAACACCAGUUGUAUAAACUUUUUACAACCGGUAGCGCUGGAUCCCUUGGCACGUCAUUCGAUGAAGACCGUUGCAAAUUGCGAUAAAGUGAUGUGAUGCGCAAGUCCACCACUUAUACGUGAAUCAUCGAGUUGUUGAACGCAUUGCACCGCGCCCUAAUCCGGCUGCGGUAUGCCCUUUGAGCGUCAUUGUAUUCCUUCGGGAGUCCUUUUACAAGGACCCGAGUUCGGAGUCCUCGGUCCCCUGUGGAUCGUGUUCUCUCAGAUCCCUCGCACCGAUCGCCUGAUGCGUCCUCUAAUGCCUAAGCGUGGAGUUCCUUCAGAGUCCGAGAGGUGCUUGACCGAGUCUUGAGCUCGUGUCACCAAGUCUGCCUAACAGCAGUACUACAACGCAUGACCUCAUUGGGGUAGGACAACCCGCUAGACUUAAGCAUAUUAAUCAGCGGAGGAAAAGAAACUAACCAGGAUUCCCUCAGUAACUGCGAGUGAAGCGGGAUCGGCUCAAUGUGUGAAUCUGGCGG